GAUGAACGCUGGCGGCGUGCCUAAUACAUGCAAGUCGAGCGAACAGACGAGGAGCUUGCUCCUCUGACGUUAGCGGCGGACGGGUGAGUAACACGUGGAUAACCUACCUAUAAGACUGGGAUAACUUCGGGAAACCGGAGCUAAUACCGGAUAAUAUAUUGAACCGCAUGGUUCAAUAGUGAAAGACGGUUUUGCUGUCACUUAUAGAUGGAUCCGCGCCGCAUUAGCUAGUUGGUAAGGUAACGGCUUACCAAGGCAACGAUGCGUAGCCGACCUGAGAGGGUGAUCGGCCACACGGGAACUGAGACACGGUCCAGACUCCUACGGGAGGCAGCAGUAGGGAAUCUUCCGCAAUGGGCGAAAGCCUGACGGAGCAACGCCGCGUGAGUGAUGAAGGUCUUCGGAUCGUAAAACUCUGUUAUUAGGGAAGAACAAAUGUGUAAGUAACUAUGCACGUCUUGAUGGUACCUAAUCAGAAAGCCACGGCUAACUACGUG
Molecule: ribosomal RNA, 497 nt
Filed under: uncultured bacterium
Lineage: Bacteria
Description: partial 16S ribosomal RNA
Rfam family: Bacterial small subunit ribosomal RNA
Source: RNAcentral